AAACCAUUAUUGAUGAUAAACUCAUACCCAAAUCAGACCAAUUGUGUUGAAAUCUUUUAACAUGCAUCACCAUCUGACUCACCUCUU
Non-coding RNA from Drosophila ficusphila, 87 nucleotides. NCBI's taxonomy places the organism in Eukaryota, Metazoa, Arthropoda, Insecta, Diptera, Drosophilidae. The record is from Rfam.